Molecule: ribosomal RNA, 790 nt
Filed under: uncultured bacterium
Lineage: Bacteria
Description: bacterial SSU rRNA
Rfam family: Bacterial small subunit ribosomal RNA
Source: RNAcentral
AGAGUUUGAUCAUGGCUCAGGAUGAACGCUAGCGGCAGGCCUAAUACAUGCAAGUCGAACGAUAGUUGGGGCUUGCUCCAACGAAAAGUGGCGCACGGGUGCGUAACGCGUAUGCAACCUACCUUAAUCAGGGGGAUAGCCCGAAGAAAUUCGGAUUAACACCGCAUAAAAACACAGGAUAGCAUUAUCCAAUGUUCAAAUAUUUAUAGGAUUAAGAUGGGCAUGCGUGACAUUAGUUAGUUGGCGGGGUAACGGCCCACCAAGACCACGAUGUCUAGGGGAUCUGAGAGGAUGACCCCCCACACUGGUACUGAGACACGGACCAGACUCCUACGGGAGGCAGCAGUAAGGAAUAUUGGUCAAUGGAGGCAACUCUGAACCAGCCAUGCCGCGUGCAGGAAGACAGCCCUCUGGGUCGUAAACUGCUUUUAUUCGGGAAUAAACCUCAUUACGUGUAGUGAGCUGAAUGUACCGAAGGAAUAAGGAUCGGCUAACUCCGUGCCAGCAGCCGCGGUAAUACGGAGGAUCCAAGCGUUAUCCGGAUUUAUUGGGUUUAAAGGGUGCGUAGGCGGCUUAUUAAGUCAGGGGUGAAAGACGGUGGCUCAACCAUCGCAGUGCCUUUGAUACUGAUGAGCUUGAAUGGACUAGAGGUAGGCGGAAUGUGACAAGUAGCGGUGAAAUGCAUAGAUAUGUCACAGAACACCGAUUGCGAAGGCAGCUUACUAUGGUUUAAUUGACGCUGAGGCACGAAAGCGUGGGGAUCAAACAGGAUUAGAUACCCUAGUAGUCC